AGACCCGAAACCCGGUGAUCUAGCCAUGGGCAGGUUGAAGGUUGGGUAACACUAACUGGAGGACCGAACCGACUAAUGUUGAAAAAUUAGCGGAUGACCUGUGGCUGGGGGUGAAAGGCCAAUCAAACCGGGAGAUAGCUGGUUCUCCCCGAAAGCUAUUUAGGUAGCGCCUCGUGAAUUCAUCUCCGGGGGUAGAGCACUGUUUCGGCUAGGGGGCCAUCCCGGCUUACCAACCCGAUGCAAACUGCGAAUACCGGAGAAUGUUAUCACGGGAGACACACGGCGGGUGCUAACGUCCGUCGUGAAGAGGGAAACAACCCAGACCGCCAGCUAAGGUCCCAAAGUCAUGGUUAAGUGGGAAACGAUGUGGGAAGGCCCAGACAGCCAGGAUGUUGGCUUAGAAGCAGCCAUCAUUUAAAGAAAGCGUAAUAG
This 432-nucleotide ribosomal RNA is filed under the name Salmonella enterica. RNAcentral's name for it is "partial 23S ribosomal RNA". It matches the Rfam family "Bacterial large subunit ribosomal RNA", at positions 711 to 1140 of the family's 2925-position model. Lineage: Bacteria; Pseudomonadati; Pseudomonadota; Gammaproteobacteria; Enterobacterales; Enterobacteriaceae. RNAcentral also lists the same sequence under 5 other names. The record is from RNAcentral.